GACAGAGGUUGCAAACGUUGUUCGGAAUUACUGGGCAUAAAGCGCACGUAGGUGGUCCGCUAAGUCGCGUGUGAAGUGCCCCGGCUCAACCGGGGAAUUGCGCGCGAUACUGGCGGGCUUGAGGUCGGGAGGGGUGAGUGGAACUCCUGGUGGAGCGGUGAAAUGCGUAGAUAUCAGGAGGAACACCGGUGGCGAAAGCGACUCACUGGCCCGAAUCUGACACUGAGGUGCGAAAGCUAGGGUAGCAAACGGG
RNAcentral lists this ribosomal RNA (253 nucleotides) under uncultured bacterium. RNAcentral's name for it is "partial 16S ribosomal RNA". It matches the Rfam family "Bacterial small subunit ribosomal RNA", at positions 524 to 776 of the family's 1533-position model. The record is from RNAcentral.